This is a non-coding RNA of Paramuricea clavata, 871 nucleotides long. The record is from the annotation of a GenBank genome assembly. NCBI's taxonomy places the organism in Eukaryota, Metazoa, Cnidaria, Anthozoa, Malacalcyonacea, Plexauridae.
AGAUGUCAAAUGCUCGGAACCUGUUGUUUUAAAAGACCACUAGGUGGUGUAUUAGUACCAAAAGUUAGCCGGGCCCAGCGAAAUACCGGGCGCCAGGGAUAGGCCUCCAAAUGGUGGUCCUUUACUCCCGCGUCGACGCGACUAUUAUCACCUCACCCUAGCCGGCCGCACGACAGGUCGGUACUUGGUCUGCUUAUGUUGGUCGGAAACCGCUGCGCGCAGGCUGCGCAUUUGCGCAGUCCCACAAGGCUGGCCCAUGAAAUGGAACUCUGUACACCUGGAAGUCCAUCGAAUUUUUGAGCAGGACCAAGUAGGGGUUAAUGCAAAAAAAAACAGUACAUUGACUGAAGUAACACUUAACGGGUUUCAGAGGCCCAAUGGAAAACUUUUGUGAAAAUAUUAUUAAAUAUCAUUUUUUAACAUCAGCAAGUGGAACAACUAAUAUUAAUGGCAAAUUGGGUUAAAAUCAACGAAUAAAUUUAUUAAUAUUAAUUAAUAGUUAUUUUAAUAUUAAUAUUAUAUUUAAAAAUUUUAUUAGCAUUUAUAUUAAUAAAAGUUGUAAACUGGGUCGUUAUAAAGGUGUUUGCCAAAUUUUAUAACUUUGCGUUGAAAAAUACUAAAAAUACAGGCCAUCAAAAAUUACUAUAAUAAAUUUAUUUGUUGAUUUUAAUCCAAUUUGCUAUUAAUAUUAGUUGUUCCACUUGCUGAUGUUAAAAAAUUAUAUUUAAUAAUAUUUUCACAAAAGUUUUCCAUUGGACCUCUGAAACCCGUUAAGUGUUACUUCAGUCAAUGUACUGUUUUUUUUUGCAUUAACCCCUACUUGGUCCUGCUCAAAAAUUCGAUGGACUUCCAGGUGUACAGAGUUCCAUGG